UGUGCCCCAACCAGCUUGGGCACAUGUUGUCAGGACUUCCUGGGGCUGUGUCAUGGGCACAUGUCUUUAACUUUGGUAAAAUAAACAUCCCAAAUUGCCUGAGACCCGUUUCAGAUAUUUGGAGUUCACAGGAACUAGUACGAUUGCCAGAGCCCACAGAGUGUAGAGUAGAAGUUGGAGUGCUGGUUGAGACACAUUUUCCAUUUGACAGCCCUUUGUGGAUUGUUUACAGGGGUUUAUGGCAAAAGCCUGUGAGCGCCUCCCAACUACAGCUACAAGUUUCUGGACUAGAGAAUUCCACCUAAGGGCAUUUAUUGCCUUGCUAUGGGACGUUAACUGAAGAUACCCCAUUCUAAUGAAAUAAUGGUGCCUAAGAGUUCCAUGGCAAGAUGAAAAUGGUUUACAUAAAAUCUUGGUACCUGGGGAGUGUGAGGAGGAGAUACUCAUGGACAGUGGGCCUCUUCUUUUCCCUAGGACUGACUCUGGAACUGCAUGAGGAGCUGCUGGAUUCAACAGUGACUGAUGAAAAGCUCUCACCUGAUGCACAAAGACCUGCUUGGCUUGCAGAUGGCAGCUCCAAGGCUGGCUUCUGCAGAAACAGAAGAUUCCUGGAGGAAGAGAGUGAACUUCAGCAAGUUGCACCAAGGAGAAUCUACAGCGGCAGCUGCCCUGCCAGGCACGGGAUCUCAGUCAACGUGGGUCAACACAGCCUCAGGAAGCCCAGAGAGAGCUGGACAAGCUGGACAUCCCAAAGAGCAUGACACUGGCCCUCCACAUUGAUUACACUGUGCUGGUCGGGUGCUAACCAAGAAGUGGCUAACACACUGGGAGUCUUGGUAAGAUGCCUGAGUGCCUGCAGCUGGCGGACAAAUCCUACGAACAUUCUGGGAACUGCCACUAAUAACACUCUUGCCGGGGAGGUCCCAUAACGAGGAGCAUACAGGACCUCCCAUCCACAGCAAAGAGCCAAUUAUUGUAUCUUGCAUCUCCCCCAACCAAGAGAGACAGAAAAUGCCAGUACACCUUCUGCAGGCAGCACAUCCCACACCCGUGAAGACCACUCCAGUCUAUGUACCAUUGAUACGAGAAGCUGUCGGCCUUCACUGAGCCUGUAGCAGGUCGAGGCUGUAGUGUGGGCAGUCCUGUGACUCAGGCCCUGCAGCUGGUCAGACCCUGUGUUAUGAGAGGUAUCAGACGUGGGAAAGCAAUGCUGUGUGUUUAUGGCAAGCCCCUAUGCCAGAAUCGCAGUGCAGGCCCCUGGGAUGUGGGAACAAAGCCAUGCCAUCUGCGGGAGAGGAUUCUGCAAAAUAUUCUGAAAAGUCCCUGCUGAUGUGCUCCUGGGGUCUGGGGUGAUGGAAUGCCUGAUUGUGCAUGUGGACCUGCUCAGAUGAGCUGGAUUCUGUCACGCCCCUGGGUUAUGAGGUUGGGGACUCAGAAAUAACCCAUUACAUGUGGGAGGGUGCGUGUGGCAGCAGUAGAAGCAGGAGCAGGAGGCCAAGCAGUGGCAGUCGCCCAGUACCCUGCCACGCUCCACAGCAGUCCUCAGAGCCCCAGUGGAGGAACCUUCCAGUGAACUGAGGAGGGAGGGACAAGCCUAGCCUUAGUUCACGGAGGUGUCUGCUCCACCUGUGGGGCCAGCCCAAAUCUCCCGGCUGCCAUACUCCAGCCUCACCAGGCUGCCCUUUCAAGAGCGUGAUAUGGUUUGGCUCUGUGUCUCCACCCAAAUCUCAUCUUGAACUGUGAUCCCCACGUGAGGAGGGUGAGACCUGGUGGGAAGUGAUUGGAUCAUCGGGGCGGUUUCCCCCACGCUGUUCUGGUGAUAGUAAGGGAGUUCUCAUGAGAUCUGAUGGUUUUAUAAGUGCCUGACAAUUCCCCUGCUUGCACUUGUCUCUCUCACCCACCACUACGUAAGACGUGCCUGCUUCCCCUGCCGCCAUGAUUGUAAGUUUCCUGAGGCGUCACCAGCCAUGCAGAACUGUGAGUCAAUGAAACCUCUUUUCUUUAUAAAUUACCCAGUCUUGGGUAGUAUCUUUAUAGCAAUGUGAGAACGGACUAACACAGAGGGUGAUGAAGGAACGUUCUCCCAGUGGUCAUCCCCUCUGUGUAAGUGGCUGUGAGGUUAGAAGAUCUCUGAAUCCAUGGGCAAUGGCCAAUGACUUUGCCAGCUGAGCCCAGAAUGGGAGUGAUGUGGAGAGUGGGGAUGGGCAGUCGGGGCUGAGGCAUGGGGUGGACAUGGAGGAGUGGGCAGGAGGUGCAAAGAUCUGUGUGUAACAGGCAGCUGCUCCCAGAAAGCACCUGCCACAGAGGAGGCCUGAACAACCCCUAGGGAAGGUCGGCGUGGCUGUCUGGGCCAAGCGUGAUGGGCUGGUUGUCUCUCUCCAUGGGGGCCCAAGGCUGCCGUCCUCUCUCCCUGUGCCAUCCUCUGCUGCCUCUUUCCCAUGGCCCUUGACCCCAAGGGAACUUCCCGAUGAGCCUCCUGCCUGCUAGGCUCCGAAUCAGUCUGUUUGCUGGGGAUCCGCCUGCUGUACUGCCACCCUUCCAGAGUAGAGAAACCAGAAGUAACUGAGCAGCGCUGACGUCAUAUGGCCAUCCCAAGGUCAAGUUUCUUCCCCUCACGUAUGAAGUUCAUUCUUUCCCUCCCACCUGAAGUUCCCGCCAGUCCUGCCUGAAGUGCUACGGCUGCCCUGGUGAUCUAGGUGGUCUCUCCAUUGUGGGUGGUGCCCAGUGGUCCUCAGUGGGUCUGGACAGGCCCUUUCUGGACUGAAGACCUAUGAAAUGGAAAGACAAGUAAUUUACUUCUCCUACCCAUUUACUAUGAAAUGUGGGAGCAGAGAGAAUAGCAACCAGCCCCAUUCAGAGAGGGGCAGAGUGGCAAGCACAUGGCAAUCGUGGAGUGCAGCCAGCCUGAGGUCCCAGUGUGGUGAAGGAUGCUCCUUGAUGUGGCCCCAGCUCUCCUCCCUAGGCAGGCCCCAGUCCAUGUUCUCAGUGGCAGUGGCUGGCCCUUCCUUUGCUCUGUCCCCUGGGCCACCUGCAUCUCAGGCACUGGAGAGUCCCCACUUUCUCAGUCUCUCUGCCACUCCUCAAAGAAUGGGAGCCCCGAGUUAUUCUUAAGUUUUCAAACAAUCACAAAUACAGUCUGUGAAUUCACCCACUGGGGAAAAUGUAUUUGUAACCCCCACAUCAAUACUCGGGGCACUCCAGGUCACUGGACACACACAGGGGGGUGAAGUUUCAGACAUGGGAUGUGCAUGUUCCAGCUGAGGUUGGACACAGUGAUGUUCUGCCUUCUUGUUCUAGCUCAUCCUGUAAACAUGGGUCUUUCCAUGGUCUCCUUAGUGACAUUCUUUUUUUUUUUUUUUUGGUGGUUUUGCUAAGUUGGCCCAAGCAUAGUGCUGAAGUUGUCCUAAGCAUAGGGAAGCUGGCUGCCAUGCGCCAGACAGAGAAAAAAGGCAUCUUAGAGAAAGCUUUGAUGUUAGUGAGUCAACAAUAUUACACAGGUGUCUUUAAACGGAAACACAUAAAACAGGAUUGGGUGUGGAUUGAUGAAAAUUUAGUGACCAGAGCUCUCAGGAACCUUAACCCUGUUUUUCUCCUAGGAGCAUGACUCAUUCAUCUCUAAUUCCAUGUUUACAGCGGCUUUUCAGAAUAUGAACUGCUGCAGAUAGUGAUAAUUGAUGGUUUUCUUCUAGGUUUAUAGGUUCUUGGGUGUUACCAUCCUCUUAAAAAUGCUGUUUGUUCAGCUUCUUCUGAAAUUAUGGAGAGAGAUGAUGGCAGGCCUCUCGAGGCGAUAGAGCUUACAUGGGAAUGCAUGCCAUACCCUUUAUCUGUUUUUCCCAAGCCAUUGUGUUCACCUGACAUGAUUCACUUCUGUCCACUCAGACACUGUAAUAUUAUUUUAUAUAUAAAAUAUAUAGGCCGGGCACAGUGGCUCACGCCUGUAAUCCUAGCACUUUGGGAGGCCGAGG
Molecule: non-coding RNA, 3965 nt
Organism: Chlorocebus sabaeus (green monkey)
Lineage: Eukaryota; Metazoa; Chordata; Mammalia; Primates; Cercopithecidae
Source: RefSeq, a predicted model, not a curated record